Molecule: ribozyme, 271 nt
Rfam family: Nuclear RNase P
About the family: Ribonuclease P (RNase P) is a ubiquitous endoribonuclease, found in archaea, bacteria and eukarya as well as chloroplasts and mitochondria.
Source: Ensembl
GGCAGUGGAAGCUCAUCAGGGGGACUCACACAUUGUUGCUCAUCACUCCAAGGCUCCUGGGAAGGUCUGAGACUGGAGCUGCCAGCAUUCCUAAUAGGGCUCUCUCUAUGCAAGGAGGUGAGUUCUCAGAGAGCAGGGCUCCACAUAUGGGAUGGCUAGACAGAAGAAGCCCUGAGUAGGCAGAUGCCUACCUCUCUGGAGCUUGGAACAAAAUGUUUCACAAAGCACAAAACUAGAAGACAAUAAAAAAAAACGGUGGAUUUUUGAUAUU